Molecule: ribosomal RNA, 623 nt
Filed under: uncultured soil bacterium
Lineage: Bacteria
Description: bacterial SSU rRNA
Rfam family: Bacterial small subunit ribosomal RNA
Source: RNAcentral
AGAGUUUGAUCAUGGCUCAGAGCGAACGCUGGCGGCAGGCCUAACACAUGCAAGUCGAGCGCCGUAGCAAUACGGAGCGGCAGACGGGAGAGUAACACGUGGGAACGUGCCCUUCAGUUCGGAACAACUCAGGGAAACUUGGGCUAAUACCGAAUACGUCCGUAAGGAGAAAGAUUUAUCGCUGAAGGAUCGGCCCGCGUCUGAUUAGCUAGUUGGUGGGGUAAUGGCCCACCAAGGCGACGAUCAGUAGCUGGUCUGAGAGGAUGAUCAGCCUCACUGGGACUGAGACACGGCCCAGACUCCUACGGGAGGCAGCAGUGGGGAAUAUUGGACAAUGGGCGCAAGCCUGAUCCAGCCAUGCCGCGUGGGUGAUGAAGGCCCUAGGGUUGUAAAGCCCUUUCGGCGGGGAAGAUAAUGACGGUACCCGCAGAAGAAGCCCCGGCUAACUUCGUGCCAGCAGCCGCGGUAAUACGAAGGGGGCUAGCGUUGCUCGGAAUCACUGGGCGUAAAGCGCACGUAGGCGGCUUUUUAAGUCAGGGGUGAAAUCCUGGAGCUCAACUCCAGAACUGCCCUUGAUACUGAGAGGCUUGAGUCCGGGAGAGGUGAGUGGAACUGCGAGUGUA